RNAcentral lists this ribosomal RNA (377 nucleotides) under uncultured Anaerolineaceae bacterium. RNAcentral's name for it is "bacterial SSU rRNA". It matches the Rfam family "Bacterial small subunit ribosomal RNA", at positions 989 to 1382 of the family's 1533-position model. The record is from RNAcentral. Lineage: Bacteria; Bacillati; Chloroflexota; Anaerolineae; Anaerolineales; Anaerolineaceae.
UACGGAAUCUCUAUGAAAGUGAGGGUGCUUCGGGAGCCGUAAGACAGGUGCUGCAUGGCUGUCGUCAGCUCGUGUCGUGAGAUGUUCGGUUAAGUCCGCUAACGAGCGCAGCCCUCACUGUGUGUUAUACGUGUCACACGGGACUGCCGGUUUUAAGCCGGAGGAAGGCGAGGAUGAAGUCAAGUCAGCAUGGCCUUUAUAUCUUGGGCUACACACACGCUACAAUGGUCUGUACAACAGGUUGCCAAGCCGCGAGGCGGAGCCAAUCCUAAAAGCAGGCCUCAGUUCAGAUUGUAGGCUGCAACCCGCCUGCAUGAAGAUGGAGUUGCUAGUAACCGCAGGUCAGCUAUACUGCGGUGAAUACGUUCCCGGGGCUU